RNAcentral lists this ribosomal RNA (438 nucleotides) under uncultured bacterium. Its description in RNAcentral is "bacterial SSU rRNA". It matches the Rfam family "Bacterial small subunit ribosomal RNA", at positions 355 to 786 of the family's 1533-position model. The record is from RNAcentral.
UAGGGAAUUUUCGUCAAUGGGGGGAACCCUGAACGAGCAAUGCCGCGUGUGUGAAGAAGGUCUUCGGAUCGUAAAGCACUGUUGUAAGUGAAGAAUGCCAUAUAGAGGAAAUGCUAUGUGGGUGACGGUAGCUUACCAGAAAGCCACGGCUAACUACGUGCCAGCAGCCGCGGUAAUACGUAGGUGGCAAGCGUUAUCCGGAAUCAUUGGGCGUAAAGGGUGCGUAGGUGGCACGAUAAGUCUGAAGUAAAAGGCAACAGCUCAACUGUUGUAUGCUUUGGAAACUGUCGAGCUAGAGUGCAGAAGAGGGCGAUGGAAUUCCAUGUGUAGCGGUAAAAUGCGUAGAUAUAUGGAGGAACACCAGUGGCGAAGGCGGUCGCCUGGUCUGUAACUGACACUGAUGCACGAAAGCGUGGGGAGCAAAUAGGAUUAGAUACC